This 1149-nucleotide ribosomal RNA is filed under the name Bacillus cereus. RNAcentral describes it as "bacterial SSU rRNA". It matches the Rfam family "Bacterial small subunit ribosomal RNA", at positions 25 to 1157 of the family's 1533-position model. The record is from RNAcentral. Lineage: Bacteria; Bacillati; Bacillota; Bacilli; Caryophanales; Bacillaceae.
CAGGAUGAACGCUGGCGGCGUGCCUAAUACAUGCAAGUCGAGCGAAUGGAUUAAGAGCUUGCUCUUAUGAAGUUAGCGGCGGACGGGUGAGUAACACGUGGGUAACCUGCCCAUAAGACUGGGAUAACUCCGGGAARCSGGGGCUAAUACCGGAUAACAUUUUGAACCGCAUGGUUCGAAAUUGAAAGGCGGCUUCGGCUGUCACUUAUGGAUGGACCCGCGUCKCAUUAGCUAGUUGGUGAGGURACGGCUYACCAMGGCRACKAUGCGUWCCGACYUGAGAKGGURACRGCCACACUGGRACUGAGACACGGCCCAGACUCCUACGGGAGGCAGCAGUAGGGAAUCUUCCGCAAUGGACGAAAGUCUGACGGAGCAACGCCGCGUGAGUGAUGAAGGCUUUCGGGUCGUAAAACUCUGUUGUUAGGGAAGAACAAGUGCUAGUUGAAUAAGCUGGCACCUUGACGGUACCUAACCAGAAAGCCACGGMUAACUACGUGCCAGCAGCCGCGGUAAUACGUAGGUGGCAAGCGUUAUCCGGAAUUAUUGGGCGUAAAGCGCGCGCAGGUGGUUUYUUAAGUCUGAUGUGAAAGCCCACGGCUCAACCGUGGAGGGUCAUUGGAAACUGGGAGACUUGAGUGCAGAAGAGGAAAGUGGAAUUCCAUGUGUAGCGGUGAAAUGCGUAGAGAUAUGGAGGAACACCAGUGGCGAAGGCGACUUUCUGGUCUGUAACUGACACUGAGGCGCGAAAGCGUGGGGAGCAAACAGGAUUAGAUACCCUGGUAGUCCACGCCGUAAACGAUGAGUGCUAAGUGUUAGAGGGUUUCCGCCCUUUAGUGCUGAAGUUAACGCAUUAAGCACUCCGCCUGGGGAGUACGGCCGCAAGGCUGAAACUCAAAGGAAUUGACGGGGGCCCGCACAAGCGGUGGAGCAUGUGGUUUAAUUYGAAGCAACGCGAAGAACCUUACCAGGUCUUGACAUCCUYUGACAACCCUAGAGAUAGGGCUUCUCCUUCGGGAGCAGAGUGACAGGUGGUGCAUGGUUGUCGUCAGCUCGUGUCGUGAGAUGUUGGGUUAAGUCCCGCAACGAGCGCAACCCUUGAUCUUAGUUGCCAUCAUUAAGUUGGGCACUCUAAGGUGACUGCCGGUG